AAAUUGAAGAGUUUGAUCAUGGCUCAGAUUGAACGCUGGCGGCAGGCCUAACACAUGCAAGUCGAACGGUAACAGGAAGCAGCUUGCUGCUUCGCUGACGAGUGGCGGACGGGUGAGUAAUGUCUGGGAAACUGCCUGAUGGAGGGGGAUAACUACUGGAAACGGUGGCUAAUACCGCAUAACGUCGCAAGACCAAAGAGGGGGACCUUCGGGCCUCUUGCCAUCAGAUGUGCCCAGAUGGGAUUAGCUUGUUGGUGAGGUAACGGCUCACCAAGGCGACGAUCCCUAGCUGGUCUGAGAGGAUGACCAGCCACACUGGAACUGAGACACGGUCCAGACUCCUACGGGAGGCAGCAGUGGGGAAUAUUGCACAAUGGGCGCAAGCCUGAUGCAGCCAUGCCGCGUGUAUGAAGAAGGCCUUCGGGUUGUAAAGUACUUUCAGCGGGGAGGAAGGUGUUGUGGUUAAUAACCGCAGCAAUUGACGUUACCCGCAGAAGAAGCACCGGCUAACUCCGUGCCAGCAGCCGCGGUAAUACGGAGGGUGCAAGCGUUAAUCGGAAUUACUGGGCGUAAAGCGCACGCAGGCGGUCUGUCAAGUCGGAUGUGAAAUCCCCGGGCUCAACCUGGGAACUGCAUUCGAAACUGGCAGGCUUGAGUCUUGUAGAGGGGGGUAGAAUUCCAGGUGUAGCGGUGAAAUGCGUAGAGAUCUGGAGGAAUACCGGUGGCGAAGGCGGCCCCCUGGACAAAGACUGACGCUCAGGUGCGAAAGCGUGGGGAGCAAACAGGAUUAGAUACCCUGGUAGUCCACGCCGUAAACGAUGUCUACUUGGAGGUUGUGCCCUUGAGGCGUGGCUUCCGGAGCUAACGCGUUAAGUAGACCGCCUGGGGAGUACGGCCGCAAGGUUAAAACUCAAAUGAAUUGACGGGGGCCCGCACAAGCGGUGGAGCAUGUGGUUUAAUUCGAUGCAACGCGAAGAACCUUACCUGGUCUUGACAUCCACAGAAGAAUCCAGAGAUGGAUUUGUGCCUUCGGGAACUGUGAGACAGGUGCUGCAUGGCUGUCGUCAGCUCGUGUUGUGAAAUGUUGGGUUAAGUCCCGCAACGAGCGCAACCCUUAUCCUUUGUUGCC
RNAcentral lists this ribosomal RNA (1129 nucleotides) under Salmonella enterica. RNAcentral describes it as "bacterial SSU rRNA". It matches the Rfam family "Bacterial small subunit ribosomal RNA", at positions 1 to 1119 of the family's 1533-position model. RNAcentral also lists the same sequence under 1 other name. The record is from RNAcentral. Lineage: Bacteria; Pseudomonadati; Pseudomonadota; Gammaproteobacteria; Enterobacterales; Enterobacteriaceae.